AGUGAACGCUGGCGGCAGGCCUAACACAUGCAAGUCGAACGACAGCACAGUAAGCUUUUGCUCUUACGGGUGGCGACUGACGGACGGGUAACAAAUAGAUCGCAUUCUACUAUUACUUGGAUGAUAACGGAGGACCACAUCCGCUAAUACCUCAUAUGUCCUACGGCAGAAAUCAAGAGAUCAUCACAGCUUUCCUGUCUCAUUGAGCUGAUGUCGCAUUAGCUAGUUGACUGGGUAAGGGCCCACCAAGGCGACGAUCCGUAGCUGAUCUGAGAGGAUGAUCAGCCACACUGGAACUGAGACACGGUCCAGACUCCUACGGGAGGCAGCAGUAGGGAAUAUUGGACAAUGGGCGCAAGCCUGACGGAGCCAUACCGCGUGAGUGAAGAAGGUCUUCGGAUUGUAAAGCCCUGUUAUUAGGAAAGAAAAGAAGUAGAUGAAUAUAUGGAUGUUUUGACGGUACCUAAAGAAUAAGCAACGGCUAACUACGUG
This 492-nucleotide ribosomal RNA is filed under the name uncultured bacterium. RNAcentral's name for it is "partial 16S ribosomal RNA". It matches the Rfam family "Bacterial small subunit ribosomal RNA", at positions 29 to 507 of the family's 1533-position model. The record is from RNAcentral.